RNAcentral lists this non-coding RNA (29 nucleotides) under Mus musculus (house mouse). Lineage: Eukaryota; Metazoa; Chordata; Mammalia; Rodentia; Muridae. The record is from RNAcentral.
UUUGACUGCAUGCUUAUCCCAAGUCCAUG